CUUGUGCAAUAUGAUAACAGUAAUUUUUUCUGUUAUGCAAAAUCCAAAUUCAAUACAAAAGACCCUGGAAUUGCAGCAGAAUUUCUAUCUAUUCAAUGUAAGUACUGAAUGAAUACAACAGAUGUAAUUCUUAAAUGGUUCAAAAUUUCAUUUCAAACUAGCACUACAUUGGCAUUGGUCACAUAGGCUGCAAAGGUGAAAAUGUGAUACUCUGCUACAAUGAACAACAUCCCUAACAAACUUUCUUAAAAAACUAGCAAUCAAGACUUACACGUAUGGCUGGUGCAUUUUCUUUUAUCCAUGUAACUGCCUUCCAUUAUCCAUGUAACUGCCGUAAUUGGAACGAGCUGCAUAAUAAGACCCGGUAAUAACCUGUCAUCCUGAGGAUAGUAGCAUGCUCUUUGAUCUGUACCCGGCUGGCCAUAACCAGACUGGGCAGGAACUUGAUAAUUGUAAGGAUUUGGACCACCAUGAGGAUACCUCUCCUGCAUUCUUGUGUAUGGUAUCCUCUCAGCAAAAACUAGUGGAGCUGGUCGCCCAACAGUAGGGCCAGGGGGAGCAACUCCACAAAAUCCACAUUCUCCAUUUUGAUUGCUGAUGUUUGCCAAAAUCUCCAUUCCUCUUCUUAUCAGAUUUUCACUUCACCAAUUGAGCAACCCUUUUCCGAAGUGGGUUGAGUGGGUAGUCAGCUUCAAGCUUGUACUCUUCAACACACCUGAUAAUAGCCUUCAGUGUUGGAAGCUCUUGUGCAUUUACAUUACCCUGUCCAGUAGCACCAUCAGUGUUUCCACCCUUUCCUUGGGAGUUUCUCCUAAAAUCCUUCAAGUAUGUCUUUAGUAGAUGAACAGGGGGAAAACUUUCAGCAAGCUGGAAGGCAUGAAUAAACCGUACAGCCUCAGUUUGUUUCCCACAGUUAAUCAAUGACUCGAUCACACCUGCACAAACAUAGAGGCUAAGUAAGCUCUACGUAAGCUCAGUAUGCUCUACAUAAGGCCAUGUAGUAUGCAAGAGUUAUACAAGACUGCAAGAGUCCAUAUUCAUUUCAUGAGUAAUCCACCAGUCGUAAAGGAAUCAAGCAUGAGAGACACGUAUGGAAACAAUGGUCCAGACUCCAGUCUCAGUUCAGUUAAUUAGAAGAACACCAACCUGGCUUUUUGUGUGUUAACCCAAGAGAACGGCAGAGCUCAGGUGCUUGCCUGCGGUGAGCAACUACAAGGACAAGCUUGCAGAGUUCUUCAUCAAACUCCGAAGCAAUUCUAAAAGUAGAGAGAAGCUGCAAGAAUGCAUAAGCUUCCAAUGAAUUUCCAUUGGCAGCAACAACGCCUGCACUAGCCAACUUAGGCUUCCACUCAUCAGCAAUUGCCUUGGCUUGCUGCUUUAUUUCAGGGUUUAGAAGGUGAUCAGCACCUGGGUCAAUUCUGGCCAAUAAGGCAGCCAAGGAUUCCAUAAACAUUAUACAGGAUCUGCGCAUGCCCUGAAGGGCAGCAUCCUUUUUGUCCAUUGGUUGGGUAGUUUCAAGAGGAGGAUAAAAUGCCUCCAGUGAAUCCAACACCAAACGUGCUGGUUCAUUUGCACUUUCUAGUGCGACAGAAAGUUUUUCACGAAUGGCAUAUAGAAUUUUUUGGUUCUCCAUAGUAAAACUCAGUAGCCCUUUUGCAUCCAUCUGCUCGCAAAAUUGCGUCAGCUCUGGACUUGGCUUAACACCAACAGCCAUGGUUUCAGCAUUUUCACCCAUUUUAGAAGGAGAGUCCUCCCCUGGGGAAUUUAUGUCACCAAGAGAGCUGCUUACCUUGCUGUCUUUGUUGUCACCACCGUCAAUGGACUCAGAUAUAGUUGGCAGGUGAUUAGCUCGUGCCUCUGCAAUGACAGCAACAGCAUCAUCCUUUAGUUCCUGCACACGUUCUAAGAAAUCUUGCUCUUUAGCAACAACAGCUGCCUCUCUUUCUGCAAGCAGGGCAUGAAUUUCAUCUUCUUUCUCCUUGUACUCUUUCUCCCUAGCUUCUAACACUUCAAAUUUUUUCUUUAAUGUUGCAUCAAGAUUGCGAAAGUGAAGUUCAAUUUCCAUCCACUGAACCCCGUCCUCAGAUGCAUCCUUGAGGGCUUCCAGCUCAUUUAGAGCUCUUCCAAGCUGUUCUAUUAAAGAGGAUGCGGUAUGGUUUUCCACAUCUUGCUCUGAAUUAGUCAUGGCUGUGGAAAAUCCAGGUACUACGGACUUCUCAACAACAACAACAACAAUGAAGCAAAUAUAGAAAACCCUAGAAGUUACAGAUUGUGAUUUGCUGCAGAUGAGAAGAACCGACUGGAAAUGAAUUCCCUUGUUUUAGCUCUUUUAGUUGCAGAUAAAAAAAAAAAUAAAAAAGAAAAUUAGUGGAUUUUUUUUCUUCGUUUCUUAAUUUUUCUAUUCUAGGAAUGUCAAUAGUCUUAAAACUGCAUCUGUUAUCUAGGAUAAGAAGCAGGAACCCUAACACCUCAGGGUUUGAUUUUGGAUUUUGUGGAGUUUAAUUGGGCUUGG
This 2512-nucleotide unclassified non-coding RNA is filed under the name Hevea brasiliensis (rubber tree). The record is from RNAcentral. Lineage: Eukaryota; Viridiplantae; Streptophyta; Magnoliopsida; Malpighiales; Euphorbiaceae.